RNAcentral lists this ribosomal RNA (692 nucleotides) under uncultured Bacillota bacterium. RNAcentral's name for it is "bacterial SSU rRNA". It matches the Rfam family "Bacterial small subunit ribosomal RNA", at positions 28 to 703 of the family's 1533-position model. Lineage: Bacteria; Bacillati; Bacillota. The record is from RNAcentral.
GACGAACGCUGGCGGCGUGCCUAAUACAUGCAAGUCGAGCGAAUCAAAAGGUGCUUGCACCUUUUGGUUAGCGGCGGACGGGUGAGUAACACGUGGGCAACCUGCCUGUAGGACUGGGAUAACUUCGGGAAACCGGAGCUAAUACCGGAUAAUUCCUUCCCUCUCAUGAGGGAAGGCUGAAAGACGGCGUAAGCUGUCACUUACAGAUGGGCCCGCGGCGCAUUAGCUAGUUGGUGAGGUAACGGCUCACCAAGGCGACGAUGCGUAGCCGACCUGAGAGGGUGAUCGGCCACACUGGGACUGAGACACGGCCCAGACUCCUACGGGAGGCAGCAGUAGGGAAUCUUCCGCAAUGGACGAAAGUCUGACGGAGCAACGCCGCGUGAGCGAUGAAGGCCUUCGGGUCGUAAAGCUCUGUUGUUAGGGAAGAACAAGUACCGGAGUAACUGCCGGUACCUUGACGGUACCUAACCAGAAAGCCACGGCUAACUACGUGCCAGCAGCCGCGGUAAUACGUAGGUGGCAAGCGUUGUCCGGAAUUAUUGGGCGUAAAGCGCGCGCAGGCGGUCCCUUAAGUCUGAUGUGAAAGCCCACGGCUCAACCGUGGAGGGUCAUUGGAAACUGGGGGGCUUGAGUGCAGAAGAGGAAAGCGGAAUUCCACGUGUAGCGGUGAAAUGCGUAGAGAUGUGGAG